RNAcentral lists this unclassified non-coding RNA (451 nucleotides) under Hevea brasiliensis (rubber tree). Lineage: Eukaryota; Viridiplantae; Streptophyta; Magnoliopsida; Malpighiales; Euphorbiaceae. The record is from RNAcentral.
CCGGUGAUUUCAAGACCUAUGUUUGGAGCCUUUGGCAAGGCUGGAAGUGCUAACUCCGUUGCUUUUGUCAGCAAGAUCGCAGCGUAUAAUGGGAUAAAGGCUUUGUAUGGACUCAGCAAAAGAGUGGAAGCCGUAGGCAAUGUUAGGAGACUCACUAAACUUGACAUGAAGCUCAAUGAUGCCCUUCCUAAUAUCACAGUAGAUCCAGAAACAUAUACAGUGACAGCAGAUGGUGAGGUUCUCACCUGUACUGCUUCCACCACGGUUCCGCUUUCUCGGAAUUACUUCCUUUUUUAGACAUCACAAUGAAUAUCACAACUAAUAAAUUAGAAUAAAUGAACGAAUUUCCUUUCUUUUCAUCAUCAUUUUUUUGUGUGAUCUUGUGGGAGUUGUUAUUUGCUUUCCAUACUUUGAAUAACAAUUGAGAAUACAUGCAAUGAUUUUAUCAUGC